Molecule: long non-coding RNA, 481 nt
Organism: Lampris incognitus (smalleye Pacific opah)
Lineage: Eukaryota; Metazoa; Chordata; Actinopteri; Lampriformes; Lampridae
Exons: 3
Source: RefSeq, a predicted model, not a curated record
GUGCUGCAGCUGCUGCCAAAGCUGACUGCUUGGAGAGGGAGAUGCUCACAGGAGAUGGCUGCUGCACACCAAGAGCUGCAGGUAGAGAAAAUAAGCUACCUGAGAGUCCGGCGGCCACAAUGGUUCGUAACAUUGAGGUGGUCUAGCGGCGGCCUCGCCUGGCGUUGAUUGUGUUUUUGGUGUCGUCGUGUGGACUGCGAGGUUUGUCGAAGGUGACCGGCUGAGAGAGCUACCGUUGGAUCGGCGAGGGGAGCCUGGUCUGCUGCCUCCGGUGGGCCCAAGGACCACGGCCCUGCCUGGAGCUGCACCCAAAGAGGAAACACCGGGUGCGGUCUGGCAGGAUGCAGAAGCAGGGGAGGGUAAGGUAACUGCUAGUCCAUGCAUGGGCUAGCCGUCAUCCUGGCUAGCGUUCGCUCUCCUGGACAGUGAUUCUUUUUUCUUUUUUUUAAAUAUAUGUUGGAUAUGUGCUUUUGCAGUUUAU